Molecule: unclassified non-coding RNA, 614 nt
Filed under: Hevea brasiliensis (rubber tree)
Lineage: Eukaryota; Viridiplantae; Streptophyta; Magnoliopsida; Malpighiales; Euphorbiaceae
Source: RNAcentral
UGCUAUAGGCCGAGAUAUCAUUGAAAAAAUGAACACAAAUUGACGGAGAUAAGCCUGAACAAUUCGUUCAUUAUCACUUGGAAUGUCGUUGGAGCAUUUGUUAGCCCAAAAGACAUGACUAAGAAUUCAUAGCAGUCAGAAUGUGUUCAAAACAUAGUUUUAUGAAUGUCUUCCUCUAUCACUUGAAUUUGAUAAUAGCUCGAUCUCAAAUCCAUUUUCAAAAAGCACUUGGUAUCGUUUAAUAAAUCCAACAUUUUAUUGAUGAUUGGAAUAGAGUACGUGUUGGCAAUUCAAAGGAAUAUAAUUGCCUAAAGAAUAAGAUGGAUUUUAAUAAUCCAAACAGACACUUAAAUAAUUUAUUGAUUAAAAAGAGAACGAACACUAUCUCACAAAUACAAAACGUUAUGCUCACAUGCCACAGCUCGUAAAAGCUUUUUUCUUAGCUCGUUGGAGCUAAUUACACACAAUUUUCAAAUGCUAGGACGAGAUCCUUUAUAUAGCAAAAUAAAUGGCGGUUCAAAAGACAAAAGUUUUCUCCUAUCUAUAUAAUAAUUUGUUGGUAAUUCUACAAGGUUAAGAAAUUCAACUUUGGUUAUUCUUAACAAAGAAGAAAA